AUGGUGCUUGUGGACCGUGGAGGAGGUCGAAGGGACGUCGAGGGUUGGUGCCGUACGGAUGCAGCGGUUCCUGCUGGGGCAUCGUCGGUAGUGAUGUGGCAAUGUGAGGGGUUGCGGAAGUUUAAGUUUGCGAAGAAGGAGGAAGUGAGUUGCGUGAAAGCGGUAUCGGAUGUUCUUGCAUUGAGUUUGCAGCUUGGAGUUUAUGGUUGUGACAGAUCGGAGCAUCGUUUGAAACGGUAG
Vicia faba (fava bean) is the source of this 240-nucleotide non-coding RNA. Lineage: Eukaryota; Viridiplantae; Streptophyta; Magnoliopsida; Fabales; Fabaceae. The record is from the annotation of a GenBank genome assembly.